UACGAAGGGGGCUAGCGUUGUUCGGAAUCACUGGGCGUAAAGCGUGCGUAGGCGGCUGCGCAAGUCGGUUGUGAAACCCCGGGGCUCAACCCCGGAACUGCAUCCGAUACUGCGUGGCUAGAGGUAGGUAGGGGAGAUCGGAAUUCCUGGUGUAGCGGUGAAAUGCGCAGAUAUCAGGAGGAACACCGGUGGCGAAGGCGGAUCUCUGGGCCUUACCUGACGCUCAGGCACGAAAGCUAGGGGAGCGAACAGG
Molecule: ribosomal RNA, 253 nt
Filed under: uncultured bacterium
Lineage: Bacteria
Description: partial 16S ribosomal RNA
Rfam family: Bacterial small subunit ribosomal RNA
Source: RNAcentral